Molecule: ribosomal RNA, 253 nt
Filed under: uncultured bacterium
Lineage: Bacteria
Description: partial 16S ribosomal RNA
Rfam family: Bacterial small subunit ribosomal RNA
Source: RNAcentral
UACGAAGGGGGCUAGCGUUGUUCGGAAUUACUGGGCGUAAAGCGCGCGCAGGCGGCUAUCCAAGUCAGUGGUGAAAGCCCGGAGCUCAACUCCGGAACUGCCAUUGAAACUGUUUAGCUUGAGGAUGAGAGAGGUGAGUGGAAUUCCCAGUGUAGAGGUGAAAUUCGUAGAUAUUGGGAGGAACACCUGUGGCGAAAGCGGCUCACUGGACCACAACUGACGCUGAGGCGCGAAAGCUAGGGGAGCAAACAGG